CACCGGAGCUUGCUCCACCGAAAGAAAAGGAGUGGCGAACGGGUGAGUAACACGUGGGUAACCUGCCCAUCAGAAGGGGAUAACACUUGGAAACAGGUGCUAAUACCGUAUAACAAUCGAAACCGCAUGGUUUUGAUUUGAAAGGCGCUUUCGGGUGUCGCUGAUGGAUGGACCCGCGGUGCAUUAGCUAGUUGGUGAGGUAACGGCUCACCAAGGCCACGAUGCAUAGCCGACCUGAGAGGGUGAUCGGCCACAUUGGGACUGAGACACGGCCCAAACUCCUACGGGAGGCAGCAGUAGGGAAUCUUCGGCAAUGGACGAAAGUCUGACCGAGCAACGCCGCGUGAGUGAAGAAGGUUUUCGGAUCGUAAAACUCUGUUGUUAGAGAAGAACAAGGAUGAGAGUAACUGUUCAUCCCUUGACGGUAUCUAACCAGAAAGCCACGGCUAACUACGUGCCAGCAGCCGCGGUAAUACGUAGGUGGCAAGCGUUGUCCGGAUUUAUUGGGCGUAAAGCGAGCGCAGGCGGUUUCUUAAGUCUGAUGUGAAAGCCCCCGGCUCAACCGGGGAGGGUCAUUGGAAACUGGGAGACUUGAGUGCAGAAGAGGAGAGUGGAAUUCCAUGUGUAGCGGUGAAAUGCGUAGAUAUAUGGAGGAACACCAGUGGCGAAGGCGACUCUCUGGUCUGUAACUGACGCUGAGGCUCGAAAGCGUGGGGAGCAAACAGGAUUAGAUACCCUGGUAGUCCACGCCGUAAACGAUGAGUGCUAAGUGUUGGAGGGUUUCCGCCCUUCAGUGCUGCAGCUAACGCAUUAAGCACUCCGCCUGGGGAGUACGACCGCAAGGUUGAAACUCAAAGGAAUUGACGGGGGCCCGCACAAGCGGUGGAGCAUGUGGUUUAAUUCGAAGCAACGCGAAGAACCUUACCAGGUCUUGACAUCCUUUGACCACUCUAGAGAUAGAGCUUCCCCUUCGGGGGCAAAGUGACAGGUGGUGCAUGGUUGUCGUCAGCUCGUGUCGUGAGAUGUUGGGUUAAGUCCCGCAACGAGCGCAACCCUUAUUGUUAGUUGCCAUCAUUUAGUUGGGCACUCUAGCAAGACUGCCGGUGACAAACCGGAGGAAGGUGGGGAUGACGUCAAAUCAUCAUGCCCCUUAUGACCUGGGCUACACACGUGCUACAAUGGGAAGUACAACGAGUCGCGAAGUCGCGAGGCUAAGCUAAUCUCUUAAAGCUUCUCUCAGUUCGGAUUGUAGGCUGCAACUCGCCUACAUGAAGCCGGAAUCGCUAGUAAUCGCGGAUCAGCACGCCGCGGUGAAUACGUUCCCGGGCCUUGUACACACCGCCCGUCACACCACGAAAGUUUGUAACACCC
This 1371-nucleotide ribosomal RNA is filed under the name Enterococcus thailandicus. RNAcentral describes it as "bacterial SSU rRNA". It matches the Rfam family "Bacterial small subunit ribosomal RNA", at positions 70 to 1422 of the family's 1533-position model. Lineage: Bacteria; Bacillati; Bacillota; Bacilli; Lactobacillales; Enterococcaceae. The record is from RNAcentral.